GUCGAACGAGUCGUCCCGCUUGCGGGCGGGGAGUAAAAGUGGCGAACGGCUGAGUAACGCGUGGGUAACCUGCCCUUGAUUCUGGUAUAACUUCGCGAAAGCGUUGCUAAUACCGGAUAUUGUCCUGAGAACUGUGGUUCUCGGGAUGAAAGGUGACCUAUCCAUGGAAGUUGCCGUUCAGGGAGGGGCCCGCGUACCAUUAGCUUGUUGGUGGGGUAACGGCCUACCAAGGCGACGAUGGUUAGCUGGUCUGAGAGGAUGAUCAGCCACACUGGAACUGAAACACGGUCCAGACUCCUACGGGAGGCAGCAGUGAGGAAUUUUGCGCAAUGGGGGAAACCCUGACGCAGCAACGCCGCGUGAGUGAAGAAGGCUUUCGGGUCGUAAAGCUCUGUCAAGGGGGAAAAACCCCUUUUGAUAAAUAGUCAAAAGGACUGAUGGUACCCCUAGAGGAAGCACCGGCUAACUCCGUGCCAGCAGCCGCGGUAAUACGGAGGGUGCAAGCGUUGUUCGGAAUUACUGGGCGUAAAGAGCGUGUAGGCGGUUUGGUAAGUCAGAUGUGAAAGCCUUCCGCUCAACGGAAGAAGUGCAUUUGAAACUGCCAUUCUAGAGUAUGGGAGAGGAGAGUGGAAUUCCCAGUGUAGAGGUGAAAUUCAUAGAUAUUGGGAGGAACACCCGUGGCGAAGGCGACUCUCUGGACCAAUACUGACGCUGAGACGCGAAAGCGUGGGGAGCAAACAGGAUUAGAUACCCUGGUAGUCCACGCCGUAAACGAUGAGAACUAGGUGUAAGCGGGUAUUGCCCCUGCUGUGCCGAAGCUAACGCAUUAAUUCUCCGCCUGGGG
RNAcentral lists this ribosomal RNA (844 nucleotides) under uncultured bacterium. Its description in RNAcentral is "bacterial SSU rRNA". It matches the Rfam family "Bacterial small subunit ribosomal RNA", at positions 61 to 878 of the family's 1533-position model. The record is from RNAcentral.